GCCCCUAUAGCUCAGUGGUAGAGCGUCAGUCUUGUAAACUGAAGGUCUGCCCGAUCCCGCGCAUGGGGCA
Datura stramonium (jimsonweed) is the source of this 70-nucleotide non-coding RNA. The record is from the annotation of a GenBank genome assembly. Lineage: Eukaryota; Viridiplantae; Streptophyta; Magnoliopsida; Solanales; Solanaceae.